Molecule: ribosomal RNA, 250 nt
Filed under: uncultured bacterium
Lineage: Bacteria
Description: partial 16S ribosomal RNA
Rfam family: Archaeal small subunit ribosomal RNA
Source: RNAcentral
UACCAGCACCCCGAGUGGUCGGGACGAUUAUUGGGCCUAAAGCAUCCGUAGCCGGUCAUGCAAGUCUUCCGUUAAAUCCAGCCGCUCAACGGUUGGGCUGCGGAGGAUACUACGUGGCUAGGAGGCGGGAGAGGCAAGCGGUACUCAGUGGGUAGGGGUAAAAUCCUUUGAUCCAUUGAAGACCACCAGUGGCGAAGGCGGCUUGCCAGAACGCGCUCGACGGUGAGGGAUGAAAGCUGGGGGAGCAAAC